CUAACCGGGAGCCAGCCUUCGGUUUGCCCUUGAUGUCUUCACCUUUCAACUUUUCUACUGCUAGCGUAGCGUCGUGAUGCAUUCAGCCGUAUUCUAUGCAAAAAUUAUAGUCACAAUGAUGCGGUUUCUGUAUAUUCAUUAUUCAUUAAUUACAAAUUUUUCUACACGAAAAGGAUUCCCGCUUUCUCUCUCUCUCUCUCUCUCUCUGAAUUCUAAUUGUUUCUUUCUGAUUCACGCUUCAGCAGGAUUCGAAGGUUUAAGCAUCGGCUUUCAAGCUCAAAGAAAGUGAUCACGACAUUUACUUGGAUUGGCCCCUACAUCUCUUUACUUCCGGGAUAAAAAGUGUCCAAACAUCUGUUUGUUCUUUUCACUUGUUUUGACAAAGUGGCAGAGAUAUAAUGAUGUAACAGAAUCUUUUUUCUCUCGGAUGCAAAUGCCCAGUUGGUACCCUUGGGUUAGCUGGGCAUGAAUGUACUGCUUUUAGGCUGCAAAUUGGUCUCCAGAGAAUUGCCAGUUCAACAAAUGGUCGGAUGUUUGCUUGACUUCAUGAAAGGUAAUUAAGCUCUCCCUUUGUCUGCCACUGAUAAACUCGUAAAACGAUGCUGAUUUUAUUCUGUGAACGUCUUUUAGCAACUGUAUCUCUUAAGCUUGGCUGCCUGCUUAACUUGGCUUAGUAACAUAAAUCGCCCUCGGGUUUAUUGAGGAGAAUUGUAUUCAUGUUUCAUAAGUAUGCACAUUGGUGGAGUGUAUCAAUAGAGGAAAGGACAGUUUCAGCCGGGCAUCAAACCAUAUGCUUGGAAUGAUAUUUGAACUGGUAAGGUAUCAGAGAUCGUUGGCUUGUGAUAUCAUAUGUCCUCAGGUUGCAAGUGAGCCAGGUGGCCCCAACCUAUCUGCCUCCUUGAAUAAUAUCUUCCAUGUAGACUGUAAUUGAGGAACAAUUAUCUCAUAUUCCCAAUUAAAAAUAUUAGGUGAGGAGGAGGUACUCAAAAAGAUGAAAUCACCAAGAUAUUAUUGAAAAGCAAUUAUUCUCAUUUGCUGUUUUUGUCAACAUGUGUAAGGGGAAGGUACGUGGCCUUUCACCUAAUUUAGAUUUGAAGAAUCAACACCAGAACUUGUCUCAAAUCCGUUCGAUGGAUUUACCACCAUCUCCAGAAAA
Long non-coding RNA from Diospyros lotus (date-plum), 1156 nucleotides. RefSeq lists it as uncharacterized. The transcript is spliced from 3 exons. The record is from RefSeq and is a predicted model, not a curated record. NCBI's taxonomy places the organism in Eukaryota, Viridiplantae, Streptophyta, Magnoliopsida, Ericales, Ebenaceae.